CGGGGAGUGGCGCAGCCUGGUAGCGCACCUGCUUCGGGAGCAGGGGGUCGCAGGUUCGAAUCCUGUCUCCCCGACCA
Molecule: transfer RNA, 77 nt
Filed under: Asticcacaulis excentricus
Lineage: Bacteria; Pseudomonadati; Pseudomonadota; Alphaproteobacteria; Caulobacterales; Caulobacteraceae
Also listed under: 5 other names
Description: tRNA-Pro
Rfam family: tRNA
About the family: Transfer RNA (tRNA) molecules are approximately 80 nucleotides in length. Their secondary structure includes four short double-helical elements and three loops (D, anti-codon, and T loops). Further hydrogen bonds mediate the characteristic L-shaped molecular structure. tRNAs have two regions of fundamental functional importance: the anti-codon, which is responsible for specific mRNA codon recognition, and the 3' end, to which the tRNAs corresponding amino acid is attached (by aminoacyl-tRNA synthetases). tRNAs cope with the degeneracy of the genetic code in two manners: having more than one tRNA (with a specific anti-codon) for a particular amino acid; and 'wobble' base-pairing, i.e. permitting non-standard base-pairing at the 3rd anti-codon position.
Source: RNAcentral